This 227-nucleotide ribosomal RNA is filed under the name uncultured bacterium. Its description in RNAcentral is "partial 16S ribosomal RNA". It matches the Rfam family "Bacterial small subunit ribosomal RNA", at positions 104 to 334 of the family's 1533-position model. The record is from RNAcentral.
CGGGGUGAGUAAUGUCUGGGAAACUGCCUGAUGAGGGGGAUAACUGCUGGAAACGGUAGCUAAUACCGCAUAACGUCGCAAGACCAAAGAGGGGGACCUUCGGGCCUCUUGCCAUCGGAUGUGCCCAGAUGGGAUUAGCUAGUAGGUGGGGUAACGGCUCACCUAGGCGACGAUCCCUAGCUGGUCUGAGAGGAUGCCAGCCACACUGGAACUGAGACACGGUCCAG